AGUCCUUCGCCGUCCCUCGCCGUCCUUCGCCAUCGCACGCCACCGCACCCCAUCUCUCGAAAUCUGCAGACAUCUUGAUUUUUCCCACGCUGUCUGUCAGGUCUCCGCCGCCACUCGACGCCAGGGCGCCGGGUGAGUCCACAGCAGGGCGCAUGGUCGGCUCCACUCUCACCAUCGGGGGAAACUGAGGCCCCGGGGAAGGCGGCCAGAGAGGUCAGGCCCUGUCCUUGGUGCAGUGUCUCGUCCUCUUUGCCGGAGUGAGCCCCCCAGGAUUCGCGUGUCCUCGGGAAAGACACUGGCAGGAGUGUCACAUGACUGCCGCCCCAUGUGUGUGAGAGGCGUCCUCUGGGAGAGCAUGGAUCCUGAGGUCCCAGGAUUGUCAGCUGACCUCUGUCCUGUGUGCCCAGUGGCCCCAGGUGACGUGUCUUCAAGAAGAGGCUGAGCUGCGGUGCUUGUAAGAGUCAUGUGCUGUUCCUGGGGCUUGGAUGAUGUAGGGGAAGCAAGGUGAAAGUGGUAUCCCGUGGUUCCACGUUCUGUCCUGCUGUGGGGCUGUCCCUCACAUGCUUUCAGUGGCUGUUGCAGAGGAAGAGCCUCCGGAAAUCUGCGUGGGUCUCAGCCUUAGAUCCAAGGACAGUCCAAGGAAGUCCUAAGACCAUGGAGUUGGUGAUCUGGGAUCUGGGUUUGCUGAUAUUUCUCACCGUGAAUCUCUUGGUGGUGUUUGUGGGCACGAGAGGGGCAGAGAAUGGAGAGUGAGGCUACCACAUGAAGCGUCACCAGAGCUGCUCCCUGCUGCCUGCUCAGAGCACCCCGGAUCCACUGUUCAAUCUGCACAAGAUUCGGGGUCCAGACAUGGGAGACUUCAGCUGCCUCAGAGGACCGUGGACAGGGAAGGCCAGCCUCGCAUCCCUCUGUCCAUGCCUGGAAUGACUUUAAUAACCAAGAGUUUUAUUUUUGAAUUUGUAGCUGUCGUUCACUUUUUACCCACCCAUUCAAUAAACCUUACAGAAUUGCUCCA
RNAcentral lists this long non-coding RNA (1015 nucleotides) under Homo sapiens (human). RNAcentral's name for it is "small nucleolar RNA host gene 17, transcript variant 49 (SNHG17)". Lineage: Eukaryota; Metazoa; Chordata; Mammalia; Primates; Hominidae. The record is from RNAcentral.